RNAcentral lists this long non-coding RNA (4101 nucleotides) under Marmota monax (woodchuck). Lineage: Eukaryota; Metazoa; Chordata; Mammalia; Rodentia; Sciuridae. The record is from RNAcentral.
UCAUUGUGUUGACUUAUCUCCUUCCAGACAGAACCUACAUUUAAAAAACUAUAGUAUAAAAUGGAGUUAAGAAAAGAUGUGAUAUCUUUUCUUGCUGAAAAGGGUGUUCUAUACCCUGGUUUGCCCAACCCAUGAACUGUUAUAAGCCAACAGUAGGAUAAAGCAGAAGAAGAAUAUCACUCUUGUAAAACACCCAUUCCCCUGGUGAUCUGAAAUACUUGGUGAUCUGUUAUUCAUUUUGCUCCCCCAGGGGAUGACUAUUUGUCUGCAAUGAUGUUGGAAAUAUACUGAGAGACUUCACACAUCCUUUUCCAAACUGAGCUUCAUUCCAAUGGAGGAGGUUAAAUCAUUUGGCUUUCAAGCUGGCAUCUGUCUACACCUGGCAUGUGGAGUGGGAUAGGUGAAGCUAUGAAAAUAUACAGCUCAUACUGUAGAACUUUCAAAGAGAACUCAUUUUUAAAAAUGCCCUCUGCUUUAUUCACUUGUUACUCAUUUGAACAGGCACCAGGAAAACAGCACAGAACCAUAUCCAUUGUACUUGGCAAAGUUUAUGCAAGUGGGAAUUAAAAGAAUACCUCUGAUGUCCUGUUAUUCAUGAUACCACUCACUUUGGUAACAUUUAUGGUAACAAUAUGAAUCUUACCUGGCACUUGGUGGGCAUUGGCACAUACAAAUUAGCUCUUAUCUUCUGCAAGUCUAUUCAAUUUCUUGUCCAAGGCUCAAUACAACAAUAACAGAUUGUUUAAUAUAUGACUGGAAAUGUAUUAUUUAUGAUCACAAAUAAGCUCAUUGUAUCUUAGAAGCUCAAGUACUGUGAAGACACUGAUGUUCAACAUUUGUUUUCUCAGAAAUUUUUAUUUGUUAAAACCGCAGAUUUUCUAUAUCCAGAGGACUAAACCUACAGAUGCAUAAUUUUACAUUAAGCUCAUUUUCAUAUUCAGAAACCAAUGUUUAUUUCAACAAAGAGCAAGAAAACUUACCUUUUAAAAGUACAGUUUAAACUGGGUAUCAUUAGGUAGAACAUGUAUAGAUAUUAUAACAACUUGUAAAUUUCAUAUCUAUCACUGCAGACUUAUUUGGCAGGGUGAAACCAAAAAUUACAAGUUAGAGAGCCAAUAAUGCCCAGUAAAAAAUGAUAAUAAUAUCAGUAACUGUCAUCUGCACAGUGAUCAGGAGGCUGCACACACUGCCAGGACUAACUUCUUUUAUUGCAAAACGGCAGCAUUGACUAAUGACCAAAAAGUGUCAACUCUAGGUAUAUUUGGUGUGAUCAGUUUUGCAACAUAAAAACAAUGGCCAUAAAUUCACAAGCCAUUUACUGAUGAUGAAGUGAUGGCCAGGUAUCAAUGCCAUCUCUCUGGUCACAGCCAAGUGUCCAAAACCUGGACUCAUAAUUUCUUAUUUACCAUCUUGCUACAGAGAUCAUUGUCAAAUUUGGAAAUAAUUAAAGAGGGAGAAUUGUUUUCUAGCUACUCUUGGCAGGGAAAAGAAAGCCUGCCUUGAUUUUUGCUAGGAAGAUGGGACAGAUACGUGGCAGAAGGGCAGAUAGAGGGGAGGUUAGAGCUGAGUCAGAGUGGGUGUUGGUUGUGCAGUUCUCUGGGAAGGACUUGCGAGUUACAGAAUUAAAAGUGUAUUAUCCUAUGUGAUAAAUAGAAUUUGAGAAGAAACCCUGUAGUAGAUGGAGGAUUCUUCUUAAUGCAGCUUGGCUUUUUUUUAUCUUUUAAAUUUUAUUUUUCCACAUUUUUUAUUGGUGUAUUAUAAUUGUACAUAAUGGUGAGAUCUGUUGUUACAUAUUCAUACAUGGAUACAAUAUAACAAUAUAGUUUGACUAAUAUCACCACCCUGUACUUUUCCCCCUUCUCCUCCUCCCAUCCCCUAAUUUUUUUUAAUCUAACUCACUAAAAGGAUUCUAUCUCCAGAAUCACAACUCUUCAUAACAUAAGAAAUUCACAAGUUUUUCCCUUUUCGGGACAACAUCCUUUCAGGUCACCCUGCCCGCCACCAUUGAGCUUCUGCAGGAACAUGUUGGGACUUCUAGAACGAUGGAACUGAAAUAGGUGGGUCUGGACUGGAGUGUUCUGACUGACUGGAUCUUUGGGAUGAUACCACCUUACUCCCUACCUGGAUAUAGUACUUCUAUCAGCACACCGACCUUGCCACUGAUGUUUCUAAUCCACAAGGAGACUCUGAAUGUCAGUACCUUCCCUUGAUGCAACAUCCAAAUAAAGAUGACUUUCACUUGGGACCAAAUCCUGAGAAUAUCCAGAAGCGCUCAGAGCCAUCGCUAAUUGUUCCUAUUUUUCAUCUGGAGAGCUUGGCAGGUCGGUGACAUUAUAGCAAAAGUCUCCCCACUAGGACCUUGCCAAUUUCAGCUUUAAUUCCAUCAGUAAACAACUUUGACUGUGUUGGGAAAAUUCCAUUAAUCAUUCAUGUUCUGCGAAGAAUGAUACACAAAGGAGCUGUCAGCACGAGGCAGCAACUUUCCAUUUGUUUGGUAAUUAAGAACUCCAGGCCAUCUAAUGGUGCCGAGAUGCAAAUUCAUUGCCUGGUUGGAGCCAUUGGAAUGAGCUGAAAAGGAUGCACUUGCACUUACACCCCUCAUGUCAGAUGAUUUGAUGGAUCAUUCCCGCUCCUCUUAGGUGAACAGCAAGCAUAUUGCUUCAAGCUGAAAUGGUACACUUUGAAAAAGCCUUUUUAUUUUAUUUUAUUUUAUUUUAAAGAUUCCACCUCUUUAGUACGUAUACUUUUAAAACUUGUUUCUGAAACAUAGUUUGAGACAUGAAUGCAUCAAUGAAUAUUUUUCAUGAAUCAAAAUUUUAUAUUACCCAAAUAUAAUGAGUCAUACUACCCUAUUAUUUUGCAGAACCAGAGACCCAGGAAAUGUAGGAAAUGAGAAUCCUCUGUAACAGGUAACAUGUUUUGUUUUGUUUUUUCAAUCUGGAUUGCAUAUUAAUAAAUUUAUUUUGAUACCCAGAGACAAUUUGACACUUAAUAUUUACCAGGAAUUCAGCCACAACAUUACAAGAGGCUAUGAAGAAAAUGCUCUGAUAAACCAGAUAUUGCUAGUAGGUCUCCAUGGGAUUCUUGCAUCAUCAGGAAAGUUUAGCCACAAGGUUACAUUUAGAAACACUGAUAGUAUUCAAAUAUCCCAAGUCCUCAUCACUAUUUUCUCCUGUCCAUUACCUUCUUCUUUUCAUUGAAAUCUCUGGUUGAAAUAUCAUGCUCACAGGAAACUAGUGGGAGAGAGUCAAUUCAUGUAUUCAUGCAAUAAGAAAGGACAUUCUCAUGGACAUUUCUGAACACCACUCUCUGUUUCCCCCCCACCCUCUUGGUUAGUUUGAAAAGAUUCCAGGGCUUCAGCUGAGAAAAACUUGCUGGAAAAAUGUCCAGAACUUUUUUUUUUUUUUUAACAAAUCCUUCUCAACUACAAGUUUCUAUAUGUAUAUAUUCUUUAUAAAGAGCUUUCAAGGAGGAACUUCUGGCAACACUUUAAAUGAAAUAUUUUUUGUUUACGGAUGAACAUAAAUUACAAAAUGUAACCCAUAAUUGAGGCUUCAUAGCAGGCAGGUUUUAUUUAAAAAAUGAAAAUAUCAGGAAAUUGUAGUCUGUUAAUAUUCAUUUAUUUCUUAUAGUUACUUAAUGAUCUGCCUUACAUUAAUACUCAUAGUUGCAUCUUUACAUCACUUUGCAAAUUUUAUGGACUUAGAUGAUAGUAAAACAUCAUAACAGAAUCAUAUUAGAAACAGCAUUUUCUCUGUGGCCUCUUCAGUAGUUAGAGAUAUUUGUUAUGUGUGAUAGCUAUCAAUUAUGCCCCAAACAAAUUCAAUCUGAACAUAACCAGGGACAAUAAUAUUGCCCUCUGCUCUCAUCUCUUUUUCCACACAAAAGGUAUUUAUAUAAAUGUGUGGUAUUCCAUUAUACAGCUUAAAUAGUUUAAAAGCAUUUUUCUGUUUCCAUAAAUAUACAGGCUACAUUGACUAUGCAUGUUUAAAUUUCCACUUUGCCUUUAGAGAUUAAAAAAAAGGUCAUGCAAAUAAUAAAUUGUUGCAUUGCUGUGCCUCCAAUACCACAUUUGUGAUUUCUUUUCAGAAUAAAAUAAAG